This 465-nucleotide ribosomal RNA is filed under the name uncultured Klebsiella sp. RNAcentral describes it as "bacterial SSU rRNA". It matches the Rfam family "Bacterial small subunit ribosomal RNA", at positions 338 to 795 of the family's 1533-position model. The record is from RNAcentral. Lineage: Bacteria; Pseudomonadati; Pseudomonadota; Gammaproteobacteria; Enterobacterales; Enterobacteriaceae.
CCUACGGGCGGCUGCAGUGGGGAAUAUUGCACAAUGGGCGUAAGCCUGAUGCAGCCAUGCCGCGUGUGUGAAGAAGGCCUUCGGGUUGUAAAGCACUUUCAGCGGGGAGGAAGGCGUUAAGGUUAAUAACCUUGUCGAUUGACGUUACCCGCAGAAGAAGCACCGGCUAACUCCGUGCCAGCAGCCGCGGUAAUACGGAGGGUGCAAGCGUUAAUCGGAAUUACUGGGCGUAAAGCGCACGCAGGCGGUCUGUCAAGUCGGAUGUGAAAUCCCCGGGCUCAACCUGGGAACUGCAUUCGAAACUGGCAGGCUAGAGUCUUGUAGAGGGGGGUAGAAUUCCAGGUGUAGCGGUGAAAUGCGUAGAGAUCUGGAGGAAUACCGGUGGCGAAGGCGGCCCCCUGGACAAAGACUGACGCUCAGGUGCGAAAGCGUGGGGAGCAAACAGGAUUAGAUACCCGGGUAGUC